This 606-nucleotide ribosomal RNA is filed under the name Fusarium sp. JN158. Its description in RNAcentral is "eukaryotic LSU rRNA". It matches the Rfam family "Eukaryotic large subunit ribosomal RNA", at positions 38 to 667 of the family's 3401-position model. Lineage: Eukaryota; Fungi; Ascomycota; Sordariomycetes; Hypocreales; Nectriaceae. The record is from RNAcentral.
GCAUAUCAAUAAGCGGAGGAAAAGAAACCAACAGGGAUUGCCCUAGUAACGGCGAGUGAAGCGGCAACAGCUCAAAUUUGAAAUCUGGCUCUCGGGCCCGAGUUGUAAUUUGUAGAGGAUACUUUUGAUGCGGUGCCUUCCGAGUUCCCUGGAACGGGACGCCAUAGAGGGUGAGAGCCCCGUCUGGUUGGAUGCCAAAUCUCUGUAAAGUUCCUUCGACGAGUCGAGUAGUUUGGGAAUGCUGCUCUAAAUGGGAGGUAUAUGUCUUCUAAAGCUAAAUACCGGCCAGAGACCGAUAGCGCACAAGUAGAGUGAUCGAAAGAUGAAAAGCACUUUGAAAAGAGAGUUAAAAAGUACGUGAAAUUGUUGAAAGGGAAGCGUUUAUGACCAGACUUGGGCUUGGUUAAUCAUCUGGGGUUCUCCCCAGUGCACUUUUCCAGUCCAGGCCAGCAUCAGUUUUCCCCGGGGGAUAAAGACUUCGGGAAUGUGGCUCUCUUCGGGGAGUGUUAUAGCCCGUUGUGUAAUACCCUGGGGGGGACUGAGGUUCGCGCAUCUGCAAGGAUGCUGGCGUAAUGGCCAUCAACGACCCGUCUUGAAACACGGACC